UACGUAGGGCGCGAGCGUUAUCCGGAAUUAUUGGGCGUAAAGAGCUCGUAGGCGGUUUGUCACGUCCGCUGUGAAAACUGGAGGCUCAACCUCCAGCCUGCAGUGGGUACGGGCAGACUAGAGUGCGGUAGGGGAGAUUGGAAUUCCUGGUGUAGCGGUGGAAUGCGCAGAUAUCAGGAGGAACACCGAUGGCGAAGGCAGAUCUCUGGGCCGUAACUGACGCUGAGGAGCGAAAGCAUGGGGAGCGAACAGG
Molecule: ribosomal RNA, 253 nt
Filed under: uncultured bacterium
Lineage: Bacteria
Description: partial 16S ribosomal RNA
Rfam family: Bacterial small subunit ribosomal RNA
Source: RNAcentral